UUUUAUGAGAGUUUGAUCCUGGCUCAGGACGAACGCUGGCGGCGUGCCUAAUACAUGCAAGUCGAACGCUUCUUUUUCCACCGGAGCUUGCUCCACCGGAAAAAGAGGAGUGGCGAACGGGUGAGUAACACGUGGGUAACCUGCCCAUCAGAAGGGGAUAACACUUGGAAACAGGUGCUAAUACCGUAUAACAAUCGAAAUCGCAUAGAUUUG
Molecule: ribosomal RNA, 213 nt
Filed under: Enterococcus faecium
Lineage: Bacteria; Bacillati; Bacillota; Bacilli; Lactobacillales; Enterococcaceae
Description: partial 16S ribosomal RNA
Rfam family: Bacterial small subunit ribosomal RNA
Source: RNAcentral